CGUCAAUAUUUCAGUUUCACUGACCUGUUGAACUUGGACCCAGCCCGGAACCAAGGAGCAGAGGUGGGGAUACAUUUUAGAUGAGGCUACGAACCAUCUCAGGGCAACGGACACACAGAUUUGUAUUCCUCACACAUAAGGGCAAUUCAUAGUCAAUCCACCUUCUGCUUGUUUUUAGAGGUUCAAGGUGCAACGUGGUGCAAGGUAGAAAGACAGGGUCCCAGUCCACUGCAGAGUUUUAUGCACUUACCCAAUUGCUCACAAAAACUGAUUAGGCGAGCUGGGGCAGUGGUCAGCAUUGAGCUGAAACGACUGGUAACAGUGGCACAAGAAAGACCCUGAGUAAAUUCCACUGAACAAUGACAGUCAUGAGACUGUACGAGACAGAGGAGUAUGUUCAGUGACAGGCUGUCACAGAGCUACUCCACAGACAGGCUAAGAAGGUCCUUUGUCCCCAGAGCCAUAAUACUCUACAACUCUACCCGGCAGAGUAGGUGUAUGUGGAUGUAUAAGUAUGUGUGUAUCAGUGGCGAUUUCUCUAAGACUGCAAGGGAAGCUCAGCUUCCCCUAAAAUGUCAAAAAUUAAAUGGUCAAAUAUG
Trichomycterus rosablanca is the source of this 599-nucleotide long non-coding RNA. RefSeq lists it as uncharacterized. NCBI's taxonomy places the organism in Eukaryota, Metazoa, Chordata, Actinopteri, Siluriformes, Trichomycteridae. The transcript is spliced from 2 exons. The record is from RefSeq and is a predicted model, not a curated record.